This 402-nucleotide ribosomal RNA is filed under the name uncultured bacterium. RNAcentral describes it as "bacterial SSU rRNA". It matches the Rfam family "Bacterial small subunit ribosomal RNA", at positions 355 to 773 of the family's 1533-position model. The record is from RNAcentral.
UAGGGAAUAUUGCAAAAUGGGCGAAAGCCCGAUGCAGCAACGCCGCGUGGGCGAUGAAGGCCUUCGGGUCGUAAAGCCCUUUUUGAGGGGAUGAGGAAGGACAGUACCCUCAGAAUAAGCCUCGGCUAACUACGUGCCAGCAGCCGCGGUGAUACGUAGGGUGCGAGCGUUAAUCGGAAUUACUGGGCGUAAAGCGUGCGCAGGCGGCUUUGUAAGACAGAUGUGAAAUCCCCGGGCUCAACCUGGGAACUGCAUUUGUGACUGCAAGGCUAGAGUGCGUCAGAGGGAGGUGGAAUUCCGCGUGUAGCAGUGAAAUGCGUAGAGAUGCGGAGGAACACCGAUGGCGAAGGCAGCCUCCUGGGAUGACACUGACGCUCAUGCACGAAAGCGUGGGGAGCAAAC